ACAAUUAGCUGUUGGGACACUAGAUGUUUUAGUAGCGAAGCUAACGCGUGAAAUUGUCCGCCUGGGGAGUACGGUCGCAAGAUUAAAACUCAAAGGAAUUGACGGGGACCCGCACAAGCGGUGGAUGAUGUGGAUUAAUUCGAUGCAACGCGAAGAACCUUACCUGGUCUCGACAUGUACGGAAUCUCUUAGAGAUAGGAGAGUGCCUUCGGGAGCCGUAACACAGGUGCUGCAUGGCUGUCGUCAGCUCGUGUCGUGAGAUGUUGGGUUAAGUCCCGCAACGAGCGCAACCCUUGUCAUUAGUUGCCAUCAUUAAGUUGGGCACUCUAAUGAGACUGCCGGUGACAAACCGGAGGAAGGUGGGGAUGACGUCAAGUCCUCAUGGCCCUUAUGACCAGGGCUUCACACGUCAUACAAUGGUCGGUACAGAGGGUAGCGAAGCCGCGAGGUGAAGCCAAUCUCAGAAAGCCGAUCGUAGUCCGGAUUGCACUCUGCAACUCGAGUGCAUGAAGUCGGAAUCGCUAGUAAUCGCAGGUCAGCAUACUGCGGUGAAUACGUUCCCGGGUCU
RNAcentral lists this ribosomal RNA (568 nucleotides) under uncultured Neisseriaceae bacterium. Its description in RNAcentral is "bacterial SSU rRNA". It matches the Rfam family "Bacterial small subunit ribosomal RNA", at positions 812 to 1381 of the family's 1533-position model. Lineage: Bacteria; Pseudomonadati; Pseudomonadota; Betaproteobacteria; Neisseriales; Neisseriaceae. The record is from RNAcentral.